UACAGAGGGUGCGAGCGUUGUCCGGAAUCACUGGGCGUAAAGGGCGCGUAGGCGGCUUGAUAAGCGUGCGGUGAAAGCCCGGGGCUCAACCCCGGGUCGGCCGUGCGAACUGUCGAGCUGGAGCACUGUAGAGGCAGGUGGAAUUCCGGGUGUAGCGGUGGAAUGCGUAGAGAUCCGGAAGAACACCGGUGGCGAAGGCGGGACUCUGGGCCGAUACUGACGCUGAGGAGCGAAAGCGUGGGGAGCAAACAGG
RNAcentral lists this ribosomal RNA (253 nucleotides) under uncultured bacterium. RNAcentral's name for it is "partial 16S ribosomal RNA". It matches the Rfam family "Bacterial small subunit ribosomal RNA", at positions 524 to 776 of the family's 1533-position model. The record is from RNAcentral.